Molecule: ribosomal RNA, 253 nt
Filed under: uncultured bacterium
Lineage: Bacteria
Description: partial 16S ribosomal RNA
Rfam family: Bacterial small subunit ribosomal RNA
Source: RNAcentral
UACGGGGGGGGUAAGCGUUGUUCGGAAUUACUGGGCGUAAAGGGCUCGUAGGCGGCCAACUAAGUCAGACGUGAAAUCCCUCGGCUUAACCGGGGAACUGCGUCUGAUACUGGAUGGCUUGAGAUUAGGAGAGGGAUGCGGAAUUCCAGGUGUAGCGGUGAAAUGCGCAGAUAUCAGGAGGAACACCGGUGGCGAAGGCGGCUACCUGGACAGAAACUGACGCUGAGGCGCGAAAGCUAGGGGAGCAAACAGG